Molecule: ribosomal RNA, 744 nt
Filed under: uncultured bacterium
Lineage: Bacteria
Description: bacterial SSU rRNA
Rfam family: Bacterial small subunit ribosomal RNA
Source: RNAcentral
AGAGUUUGAUCAUGGCUCAGAACGAACGCUGGCGGCAGGCUUAACACAUGCAAGUCGAACGCUCGUAGCAAUACGGGAGUGGCAGACGGGUGAGUAACGCGUGGGAACAUACCCUCCGGUUCGGAAUAGCUCAGGGAAACUUGGAUUAAUACCGGAUACGGCUGAGAGGCGAAAGAUUUAUCGCCGGAGGAUUGGCCCGCGUUCGAUUAGCUUGUUGGUGAGGUAACGGCUCACCAAGGCGAUGAUCGAUAGCUGGUCUGAGAGGAUGAUCAGCCACAUUGGGACUGAGACACGGCCCAAACUCCUACGGGAGGCAGCAGUGGGGAAUAUUGGACAAUGGGCGCAAGCCUGAUCCAGCCAUGCCGCGUGAGUGAUGACGGCCUUAGGGUUGUAAAGCUCUUUCGCUCGGGACGAUAAUGACGGUACCGAGAUAAGAAGCCCCGGCUAACUUCGUGCCAGCAGCCGCGGUAAUACGAAGGGGGCUAGCGUUGUUCGGAAUUACUGGGCGUAAAGCGCGUGUAGGCGGGUCUUUAAGUCAGGGGUGAAAUGCCAAGGCUCAACCUUGGAACUGCCUUUGAUACUGGAGAUCUUGAGUCCGGAAGAGGUGAGUGGAAUUGCGAGUGUAGAGGUGAAAUUCGUAGAUAUUCGCAAGAACACCAGUGGCGAAGGCGGCUCACUGGUCCGGAACUGACGCUGAGACGCGAAAGCGUGGGGAGCAAACAGGAUUAGAUACCCUAGUAGUCC